This 79-nucleotide transfer RNA is filed under the name Bacteroides sp. CAG:927. RNAcentral describes it as "transfer RNA-Phe(GAA)". The record is from RNAcentral. Lineage: Bacteria; Pseudomonadati; Bacteroidota; Bacteroidia; Bacteroidales; Bacteroidaceae.
GACAGCGAGCUUUCGGAAGCCGAAGAAGAGCAAAGGACUGAAAAUCCUUGUGUCACUGGUUCGAUUCCCGUUGGCACCA